CCUACGGGAGGCAGCAGUGGGGAAUAUUGGGCAAUGGGCGCAAGCCUGACCCAGCAACGCCGCGUGAAGGAAGAAGGCUCUCGGGUUGUAAACCUCUUUUCUGAGGGACGAAGAAAGUGACGGUACCCCAGGAAUAAGCCACGGCUAACUACGUGCCAGCAGCCGCGGUAAUACGUAGGUGGCAAGCGUUCGCCGGAUUUAUUGGGUGUAAAGGGCGUGUAGGCGGGAAAGCAAGCCAGAUGUGAAAGCUCAGGGCUCAACCCUGAGCCUGCAUUUGAAACUGUUUUUCUUGAGUGCAGGAGAGGCAAUCGGAAUUCCGGGUGUAGCGGUGAAAUGCGUAGAUAUAAGGAGGAACACCGGUGGCGAAGGCGGAUUGCUGGACAGUAACUGACGCUGAGGCGCGAAAGCGUGGGGAGCAAACAGGAUUAGAUACCCCAGUAGUC
RNAcentral lists this ribosomal RNA (443 nucleotides) under uncultured bacterium. RNAcentral describes it as "partial 16S ribosomal RNA". It matches the Rfam family "Bacterial small subunit ribosomal RNA", at positions 338 to 795 of the family's 1533-position model. The record is from RNAcentral.